GCGGUGGAGCAUGUGGUUCAAUUCGACGCAACGCGAAGAACCUUACCUGGGCUUGACAUCCGCUGACAGUCCCGAAACGGGAUCUUCCCCGCAAGGGGACAGCGAGACAGGUGCUGCAUGGCUGUCGUCAGCUCGUGUCGUGAGAUGUUCGGUUAAGUCCGCUAACGAGCGCAACCCUCGUCGUAUGUUAUAUGUGUCAUACGAGACUGCCGGUAAAAGCCGGAGGAAGGUGAGGAUGAUGUCAAGUCAGCAUGACCUUUAUAUCCAGGGCUACACACACGCUACAAUGGUCUGUACAAUGGGUAGCCAAGCCGCGAGGCGGAGCCAAUCCUGAAAGCAGGCCUCAGUUCAGAUUGCAGUCUGCAACUCGACUGCAUGAAGCCGGAGUUGCUAGUAACCGCAGGUCAGCAAUACUGCGGUGAAUACGUUCCCGGGUCUU
This 439-nucleotide ribosomal RNA is filed under the name uncultured Anaerolineaceae bacterium. RNAcentral describes it as "bacterial SSU rRNA". It matches the Rfam family "Bacterial small subunit ribosomal RNA", at positions 929 to 1382 of the family's 1533-position model. The record is from RNAcentral. Lineage: Bacteria; Bacillati; Chloroflexota; Anaerolineae; Anaerolineales; Anaerolineaceae.